CGCGCAGGCGGCCCGAUAAGUCAGAGGUGAAAUAUGACGGCUCAACCGUCAAACUGCCUCUGAAACUGUCAGGCUUGAGUUCGAGAGAGGUAGGUGGAAUUCCAGGUGUAGCGGUGAAAUGCGUAAAUAUCUGGAGGAACACCGGUGGCGAAGGCGGCCUACUGGCUCGAUACUGACGCUCAGGCACGAAAGCAUGGGGAGCGAACAGGAUUAGAUACCCUGGUAGUCC
RNAcentral lists this ribosomal RNA (229 nucleotides) under uncultured bacterium. RNAcentral describes it as "partial 16S ribosomal RNA". It matches the Rfam family "Bacterial small subunit ribosomal RNA", at positions 568 to 796 of the family's 1533-position model. The record is from RNAcentral.